AGAAUGAACGCUGGCGGCGUGCUUAACACAUGCAAGUCGAGCGAGGCCAGGGGGGCAACUCCCUGAGUCGAGCGGCGGACGGGUGAGUAACACGUGGGUAACCUACCCGGAAGUGGGGAAUACCUCGGGGAAACUCGAGCUAAUACCGCAUGACAUCUUUGGGACGAAAGUCCUGACGAUCAAAGCGGGGUCGCAAGAUCUCGCGCUACCGGAUGGGCCCGCGCCCGAUUAGCUAGUUGGUGAGGUAACGGCUCACCAAGGCGACGAUCGGUAACCGGCCUGAGAGGGCGAUCGGUCACACCGGAACUGAGACACGGUCCGGACUCCUACGGGAGGCAGCAGUGGGGAAUCUUGCGCAAUGGGCGAAAGCCUGACGCAGCAACGCCGCGUGGAGGAUGAAGGCCCUUGGGUUGUAAACUCCUGUCGGCUGGGAAGAAGUCGUUCGCGGUUAAUACCCGCGGACGUUGACUGUACCAGCAAAGGAAGCCCCGGCUAACUCUGUGCCAGCAGCCGCGGUAAUACAGAGGGGGCCAGCGUUAUUCGGAAUUAUUGGGCGUAAAGGGCGCGUAGGCGGCCAUGCGUGUCUUCCGUGAAAUCCCUCGGCUCAACCGAGGACGUGCGGAAGAAACUGCAAGGCUCGAGUCCAGAAGAGGGGGGCGGAAUUCCCAGUGUAGCGGUGAAAUGCGUAGAUAUUGGGAGGAACACCGGUGGCGAAGGCGGCCCCCUGGGCUGGUACUGACGCUGAGGCGCGAAAGCGUGAGUAGCAAACGGGAUUAGAUACCCCGGUAGUCCACGCCGUAAACGAUGGGCACUUGGUGUCGCGGGUAUCGACCCCUGCGGUGCCGAAGCUAACGCAUUAAGUGCCCCGCCUGGGGAGUACGGUCGCAAGGCU
This 892-nucleotide ribosomal RNA is filed under the name uncultured bacterium. Its description in RNAcentral is "bacterial SSU rRNA". It matches the Rfam family "Bacterial small subunit ribosomal RNA", at positions 26 to 895 of the family's 1533-position model. The record is from RNAcentral.